RNAcentral lists this ribosomal RNA (301 nucleotides) under uncultured bacterium. Its description in RNAcentral is "partial 16S ribosomal RNA". It matches the Rfam family "Bacterial small subunit ribosomal RNA", at positions 509 to 807 of the family's 1533-position model. The record is from RNAcentral.
CAGUCGCCGCGGUAAUACGUAGGUGGCAAGCGUUGUCCGGAAUUAUUGGGCGUAAAGGGCUCGCAGGCGGUUUCUUAAGUCUGAUGUGAAAGCCCCCGGCUCAACCGGGGAGGAUCAUUGGAAACUGGGAAACUUGAGUGCAGAAGAGGAGAGUGGAAUUCCACGUGUAGCGGUGAAAUGCGUAGAGAUGUGGAGGAACACCAGUGGCGAAGGCGACUCUCUGGUCUGUAACUGACGCUGAGGAGCGAAAGCGUGGGGAGCGAACAGGAUUAGAUACCCCUGUAGUCCCUGUCUCUUAUAC